CAGUAGUCAUAUGCUUGUCUCAAAGACUAAGCCAUGCAUGUCUAAGUUUAAGCGAUUUAAACGGUGAGACUGCGGACGGCUCAUUAUAUCAGUUAUAGUUUAUUUGAUGGUCGAUUACUACAAGGAUAACCGUAGGAAUUCUAGAGCUAAUACUUGCACUUCAAGGUGAUUUAAUCAUCACCUGCACUUAUUAGAUUUACCACCAAUGCUCUUCGGAGCUUCGGUGAUUCAUAGUAAUUUAGCGGAUCGCUACGACUUCGGUCGCGACGCUUCAUUCAAAUUUCUGCCCUAUCAGCUUUCGAUGGUAGUGUAUUGGACUACCAUGGCUUUGACGGGUAACGGAGAAUUAGGGUUCGAUUCCGGAGAGGGAGCCUGAGAAACGGCUACCACAUCUAAGGAAGGCAGCAGGCGCGCAAAUUACCCAAUCCCAACGCGGGGAGGUAGUGACAAGAAAUAACAACAACUAACCUAUUUCAGGUGAGUUGAUUGGAAUGAGUACAAUCUAAACACCUUAACGACUAUCCAUUGGAGGGCAAGCCUGGUGCCAGCAGCCGCGGUAAUUCCAGCUCCAAUAGCGUAUACUAAUGUUGUUGCAGUUAAAAAGCUCGUAGUCGGAUUUCAGUAGGCUCAGUUUAGUCUUCAUUGUAAGAUCUAUAUGGGCCUGCUUCUUUGACAGAAACUUCUAUGUUAUUCAUUUAGCGUGGGCAGCGACUGUCUCUUUUACUUUGAGAAAAUUAGAGUGUUCAAAGCAGGUAGAUGCCUGAAUAUUACUCUUGGAAUAAUGCUAUAAGACUUUGGUUCUAAUGUAUUGGUGAUUGGGACCAGAGUAAUGAUUGAUA
This 839-nucleotide ribosomal RNA is filed under the name Phyllostaurus cuspidatus. RNAcentral describes it as "SSU rRNA". It matches the Rfam family "Eukaryotic small subunit ribosomal RNA", at positions 18 to 874 of the family's 1831-position model. The record is from RNAcentral. Lineage: Eukaryota; Acantharea; Arthracanthida; Phyllostauridae.